This 289-nucleotide ribosomal RNA is filed under the name uncultured soil bacterium. Its description in RNAcentral is "partial 16S ribosomal RNA". It matches the Rfam family "Bacterial small subunit ribosomal RNA", at positions 26 to 305 of the family's 1533-position model. The record is from RNAcentral.
AGAGUGAACGCUGGCGGUAGGCCUAACACAUGCAAGUCGAACGGCAGCACGGUAAGAGCUUGCUCUUAUGGGUGGCGAGUGGCGGACGGGUGAGGAAUACAUCGGAAUCUACCUUUUGGUGGGGGAUAACGUAGGGAAACUUACGCUAAUACCGCAUACGCCCUUCGGGGGAAAGCCGGGGACCAGCAAUGGCCUGGUGCUGAUAGAUGAGCCGAUGUCGGAUUAGCUAGUUGGUGAGGUAAUGGCUCACCGAAGGCGACGUAUCCGUAGCUGGUCUGAGAGGAUGAUC